Molecule: long non-coding RNA, 210 nt
Organism: Oncorhynchus keta (chum salmon)
Lineage: Eukaryota; Metazoa; Chordata; Actinopteri; Salmoniformes; Salmonidae
Exons: 3
Source: RefSeq, a predicted model, not a curated record
GUUUAACACUAGUGACCAGAGCUCUAUUGGGUCCUGGUUAACACUAGUGACCAGAGGUCUAUUGGGUCCUGUUUAACACUAGUGACCAGAGAGGUCUAUGGGUCCUGGUUAACACUAGUCUACUAUGUAAGGGAAUAAGGUGCAAUUGGGGACAUAGAGAGACAUGGAGAUCAUUACAUCACCAUUGUUACUACUACAGAGGUGGGGGGA